UACGGAGGGAGCUAGCGUUGUUCGGAAUUACUGGGCGUAAGGCGCACGUAGGCGGCCAUUCAAGUCAGAGGUGAAAGCCCGGGGCUCAACCCCGGAACUGCCUUGGAAACUAGAUGGCUUGAAUCUUGGAGAGGCGAGUGGAAUUUCGAGUGUAGAGGUGAAAUUCGUAGAUAUUCGGAAGAACACCAGUGGCGAAGGCGACUCGCUGGACAAGUAUUGACGCUGAGGUGCGAAAGCGUGGGGAGCAAAGCGG
This 253-nucleotide unclassified non-coding RNA is filed under the name uncultured Sphingomonadaceae bacterium. Its description in RNAcentral is "contains 16S-23S intergenic spacer region". It matches the Rfam family "Bacterial small subunit ribosomal RNA", at positions 524 to 776 of the family's 1533-position model. Lineage: Bacteria; Pseudomonadati; Pseudomonadota; Alphaproteobacteria; Sphingomonadales; Sphingomonadaceae. The record is from RNAcentral.